This 246-nucleotide long non-coding RNA is filed under the name Panax ginseng (ginseng). RNAcentral's name for it is "long non-coding RNA (PGIN_LNC006115)". The record is from RNAcentral. Lineage: Eukaryota; Viridiplantae; Streptophyta; Magnoliopsida; Apiales; Araliaceae.
UACUUACUCUCUAGUCUCUUCCGCCUCCAACCUCCACUCUUCAGUCUCCAGUGUGCAUCCCUCUCCCUCCUCACUUCGUCACUGCUCCAAGUCCAGCCGUCGCCACCUGCUCCAGCCGGCAGCCUCCUGCUCCAUUGCUCCAACACUACUUUGUACUUUGGUAAUUUCUAAAUUCUAAUUUAGCCUAAAUGUCUUUCAAAUUAUAUUAUUUCAUGUUAAGAAUCAAGAUGAUCUCUUUAAUUUUUC